AUCUCUCACAGGACCGAUUUGUCUUUGGACUCGUCGGCCCCUGUUGAUGUUGGAGGCUGCGGUUGAUUUCGACCGCUCCUCUCAAAUGCAUUGGUGCAGCCCGCUGCACAGUCUACACAACGUUCUAGGUUCGUCCAACUCGUUGCUUGGCUGUCGCAAUCCAAUGGUGCCGCACCUUAAGCCCGCCUCGUGCCUCGUGCUCCUGGCAUUACUUCAUU
RNAcentral lists this unclassified non-coding RNA (218 nucleotides) under uncultured fungus. Its description in RNAcentral is "sequence contains ITS2". Lineage: Eukaryota; Fungi. The record is from RNAcentral.